UGACAAAGUUUAAAUGGCCGCGGUACCCUGACCGUGCUAAGGUAGCAUAAUCAUUUGCCUCUUAAUUGGUGGCUAGUAUGAAUGGACACACGCAAGUACCCCUGUCUCAUCAGCAUAUAUAAAAAUUACCAAUCAGGUGAAGAGGCCUGAAUGAAAUAAAAAGACAAAAAGACCCUAUGGAGCUUUAUUUAACACCUCAAUGCCACCAGCUAACACCAUCCCACUUUGAGCAAAUAAAUUUAGUUGGGGCGACUAAGGAAAACUAUAAAUCUUCCUCAUAAAAAAGAAAAUAAAUCCCUCAUUUGAUCCGUUAUACGAAUAAAGACACAGC
This 331-nucleotide ribosomal RNA is filed under the name Laonice sp. D GT-2019. RNAcentral describes it as "partial 16S ribosomal RNA". It matches the Rfam family "Archaeal large subunit ribosomal RNA", at positions 1987 to 2476 of the family's 2987-position model. The record is from RNAcentral. Lineage: Eukaryota; Metazoa; Annelida; Polychaeta; Spionida; Spionidae.